AUGGCGACCACCGCCAACCCCACCACCGACCUCUUCUCGCGCCUCUCCUUUCGCCGCGCCGUCUCCCCCUCCCCACUCCGCCUCCCCUCCCUGCUGACCCCUUCGCCGCGCGUCUCCGUCGCCAUCGUCGCCCUCCACAAGCGCAACCCCAAGCGCCUCAAGUACGACUCCCAGCGCCAGUUCACGAGAGGGGAUGGCGGGAUGCUGCGGGUGCAGGUGGAACCCUCCGGCGAGGACUUCUGGAAGCUGGACCCCGUCGUCGACCUCAUCAACAGCGGCGCCGUCGGCGUCAUCCCAACCGACACCGUCUACUCCAUCGUUUGUGAUCUGAGUAACAAUGACUCUAUUGAGCGCCUCCGCAGAAUCAAAGGCAUUGUAAAUUCAAAGCCUCUCAGCAUCUUGUGCCGCUCGUUGCGAGAUAUUGAUACCUACACAACAGGAUUUCCUCUAGGUACCAACCAAGGGCAAGCUAACAUUUUCCGUGCUGUCAAACGUAUAUUACCGGGACCUUACACCUUUAUUUUACCUGCGACUAAGGAAUUGCCCAAGCAAUGCAUCAAGCAUGGGUCAUCUACUAGGUAUGCGAAAAGGAGGCAGGUUGGUGUUCGAAUGCCAGAUGAUCCCAUAUGUCAAGCAAUACUGCAAAAUCUGGAAGAACCGUUGAUCUGCACAAGUGUCAAAUAUCUGGCAGAGGAUGAAUGGAUACUUGACCCAGUAACCAUUGCCGAUAUUUAUGAGCCACUGGGACUCGAUUUCAUCGUUGAUGGUGGUGCUAGAAUUGCUGAUCCAUCUACUGUCGUUGACAUGACUGGAAGUUAUCCUACCAUUAUUUGCCAGGGAAAGGGUGCAAAGCUUGAUUGGAUGGUAACAGGCACGGACCAAGAGGCGCAGUCAACCUAUUCUCGUAAAGCAGCUUGA
Molecule: ribosomal RNA, 918 nt
Filed under: Triticum aestivum (bread wheat)
Lineage: Eukaryota; Viridiplantae; Streptophyta; Magnoliopsida; Poales; Poaceae
Description: partial small subunit ribosomal RNA
Source: RNAcentral